Long non-coding RNA from Populus trichocarpa (black cottonwood), 1025 nucleotides. RefSeq lists it as uncharacterized. The record is from RefSeq and is a predicted model, not a curated record. The transcript has 2 exons. NCBI's taxonomy places the organism in Eukaryota, Viridiplantae, Streptophyta, Magnoliopsida, Malpighiales, Salicaceae.
UGUUGAUGAUUUCACGUUUGUUUUUGGAUUUGGACAGGUGUUUUCUUAAGUGGCUCGUCUCUCCUCUCUGUGUUCCGUUGUAGUUCAGUUGCCAUCCAACUAAGUUAAGGUGUCCUGCUCCAGCUCUUUUUAGAUUGGCUAACUCCUUUUUUAAUGUUCUUUUGCCAAGGUGCUUUAGGAGGGGGUUUAUAAGCUCUCUAUAUUUUCUCGUGUGCCAUUUGCGGACGUUGCCAUUGCUCUGCUUUGUGGGUUUGUAGGUCAGUUUUUGCGUCUCCCUAUCAUUAUACUUGUGCGUUUUUCUGUUUUUUUUUUUGUCCUUGUUUGUUUCCCUUGCUCUGGCUUUUUUUUCUUCUGGUACAUUUACGCUACUGUCUCUUUUGACUGUGCUUUUUUUUGUUUGUUUCUUUGAAAUUUUAUUGCCUGUGUUGUCUUCUGUUGCCUUGUGGUUUGGGCUGCCAGAAACAACAGGGAGAACAGGGGUAGGACUCUUUUUCUUUUCGUUUAGGUUUUGUGAGGCCUGUGUUUUGUUAGCUAUGGGUGUUAACCAAUAAUGUUAUGCACAUGAGAUGUCUGACAGUUUACUCCUUGACUUUCAUAUGUCCCUUCCAUCCUUCCUUUGCUCAGCGCUUGCUGUGGCUUACACAUUUGCGUGGCCUAUAUAUCUGUCAUCCGCGUUAGACUCUUGCUCUAAGCAUGGAAUAAGUGCAUUGCUUGGAAUUGAGUUUAUGUGUCCAACAUUCUUGAACAUGCUGACUAUAUAAAUAAUUAGUGUCUGACAUGGCUUUUUCAAAAUAAUUCAAGAUGGAUUUGGUGCGGUAACAUUUUGUGGAUUUGUAUGAUGAUGAUGAAGAUGAUUGUUAUUGAUUGAUUUCUGAAUUGUGAGUUUUCGUAUAUGUUUGUUUCAUUAGUUAUUAAGAUCUUGAAUGAGCAAGCAAACUGAGUAGUUGAUGUAUAGCUGGCAAAGUUCAAAGAAGGAAUCAUAUUUGAUAAAAUUGGGGAUUUGUUUCGUUGAAUAUGAAACUAAA